GCACUGCCGAUGAGUCCCAUAAUAGGACGAAACGGCUGUCCAGUGC
RNAcentral lists this non-coding RNA (46 nucleotides) under Schistosoma mansoni. The record is from RNAcentral. Lineage: Eukaryota; Metazoa; Platyhelminthes; Trematoda; Strigeidida; Schistosomatidae.